UACGUAGGGUGCGAGCGUUGUCCGGAAUUAUUGGGCGUAAAGAGCUCGUAGGCGGUCUGUCGCGUCGGUCGUGAAAACUUGGGGCUUAACCCUGAGCUUGCGGUCGAUACGGGCAUGACUGGAGUUCGGCAGGGGAGACUGGAAUUCCUGGUGUAGCGGUGAAAUGCGCAGAUAUCAGGAGGAACACCGGUGGCGAAGGCGGGUCACUGGACCACAACUGACGCUGAGGCGCGAAAGCUAGGGGAGCAAACAGG
This 254-nucleotide ribosomal RNA is filed under the name uncultured bacterium. RNAcentral describes it as "partial 16S ribosomal RNA". It matches the Rfam family "Bacterial small subunit ribosomal RNA", at positions 524 to 776 of the family's 1533-position model. The record is from RNAcentral.